UUGCCCCAUCUAUUAUAUGAGGACAAAAGUUAGAAAAAAUCUCACGGAACAGGGUAAACUUAUGGAAAGAUUCAGCCUACCCUGACAACCUACCGCUCUCGUCAAUGAUGGUGCAUACAGGCUCGUAGGGGGCUAGUCGCUAGGUGGCCCAGGUGCUGUGCUGAGCUGAGCUGCUGAUGGCCACAUUUAUCAUGGCGUCGUAGCGGCUAGUUAUAUCACGGCAGCCGAACGUGGCAGACCUUUAUUUUUGUAGGUGAAAUCCAAGGGAGGAACUGCAAAUGCUCGGCGCCAUCUUGUACGAACGAUGUGGUCUGGCGGACACCUUACCAAGGUGACCAUGCAUUACCUUCGAGUGUAUUUAAGUUGCAAGUCGGUAGAUUUGCUCUGCAGUUUCCCGGAUACCAGCACCCUGCUUCGCGAGAACUACUCUACGUUGUUCUGGGGGG
Daphnia carinata is the source of this 446-nucleotide long non-coding RNA. RefSeq lists it as uncharacterized. The transcript has 3 exons. The record is from RefSeq and is a predicted model, not a curated record. NCBI's taxonomy places the organism in Eukaryota, Metazoa, Arthropoda, Branchiopoda, Diplostraca, Daphniidae.